AAGACCUUGCGCUUUUGGAGCGGCCGAUGCCUGAUUAGCUUGUUGGUAAGGUAAAGGCUUACCAAGGCUUCGAUCAGUAGCUGGUCUGAGAGGACGGCCAGCCACACUGGGACUGAGACACGGCCCAGACUCCUACGGGAGGCAGCAGUGGGGAAUUUUGGACAAUGGGGGAAACCCUGAUCCAGCCAUGCCGCGUGAGUGAAGAAGGCCUUCGGGUUGUAAAGCUCUUUCAGCCGGAACGAAACGGUUACGGAUAAUACCCGUGACUACUGACGGUACCGGAAGAAGAAGCACCGGCUAACUACGUGCCAGCAGCCGCGGUAAUACGUAGGGUGCGAGCGUUAAUCGGAGUUACUGGGCGUAAAGCGUGCGCAGGUGGUUUUGUAAGUCAGAUGUGAAAGCCCCGGGCUCAACCUGGGAACU
RNAcentral lists this ribosomal RNA (423 nucleotides) under uncultured bacterium. RNAcentral's name for it is "bacterial SSU rRNA". It matches the Rfam family "Bacterial small subunit ribosomal RNA", at positions 207 to 622 of the family's 1533-position model. The record is from RNAcentral.